Molecule: ribosomal RNA, 1372 nt
Filed under: uncultured bacterium
Lineage: Bacteria
Description: bacterial SSU rRNA
Rfam family: Bacterial small subunit ribosomal RNA
Source: RNAcentral
GAUGAACGCUGGCGGCGUGCCUAAUACAUGCAAGUCGAGCGAACGGACGAGAAGCUUGCUUCUCUGAUGUUAGCGGCGGACGGGUGAGUAACACGUGGAUAACCUACCUAUAAGACUGGGAUAACUUCGGGAAACCGGAGCUAAUACCGGAUAAUAUUUUGAACCGCAUGGUUCAAAAGUGAAAGACGGUCUUGCUGUCACUUAUAGAUGGAUCCGCGCUGCAUUAGCUAGUUGGUAAGGUAACGGCUUACCAAGGCAACGAUGCAUAGCCGACCUGAGAGGGUGAUCGGCCACACUGGAACUGAGACACGGUCCAGACUCCUACGGGAGGCAGCAGUAGGGAAUCUUCCGCAAUGGGCGAAAGCCCGACGGAGCAACGCCGCGUGAGUGAUGAAGGUCUUCGGAUCGUAAAACUCUGUUAUUAGGGAAGGACAUAUGUGUAAGUAACUGUGCACAUCUUGACGGUACCUAAUCAGAAAGCCACGGCUAACUACGUGCCAGCAGCCGCGGUAAUACGUAGGUGGCAAGCGUUAUCCGGAAUUAUUGGGCGUAAAGCGCGCGUAGGCGGUUUUUUAAGUCUGAUGUGAAAGCCCACGGCUCAACCGUGGAGGGUCAUUGGAAACUGGAAAACUUGAGUGCAGAAGAGGAAAGUGGAAUUCCAUGUGUAGCGGUGAAAUGCGCAGAGAUAUGGAGGAACACCAGUGGCGAAGGCGACUUUCUGGUCUGUAACUGACGCUGAUGUGCGAAAGCGUGGGGAUCAAACAGGAUUAGAUACCCUGGUAGUCCACGCCGUAAACGAUGAGUGCUAAGUGUUAGGGGGUUUCCGCCCCUUAGUGCUGCAGCUAACGCAUUAAGCACUCCGCCUGGGGAGUACGACCGCAAGGUUGAAACUCAAAGGAAUUGACGGGGACCCGCACAAGCGGUGGAGCAUGUGGUUUAAUUCGAAGCAACGCGAAGAACCUUACCAAAUCUUGACAUCCUUUGACAACUCUAGAGAUAGAGCUUUCCCCUUCGGGGGACAAAGUGACAGGUGGUGCAUGGUUGUCGUCAGCUCGUGUCGUGAGAUGUUGGGUUAAGUCCCGCAACGAGCGCAACCCUUAAGCUUAGUUGCCAUCAUUAAGUUGGGCACUCUAAGUUGACUGCCGGUGACAAACCGGAGGAAGGUGGGGAUGACGUCAAAUCAUCAUGCCCCUUAUGAUUUGGGCUACACACGUGCUACAAUGGACAAUACAAAGGGCAGCGAAACCGCGAGGUCAAGCAAAUCCCAUAAAGUUGUUCUCAGUUCGGAUUGUAGUCUGCAACUCGACUACAUGAAGCUGGAAUCGCUAGUAAUCGUAGAUCAGCAUGCUACGGUGAAUACGUUCCCGGGUCU